ACCAAAAACCGGUAUGUGCGUAUGUUUGUGUGCAGUCACCCUUGCAUACAAGCCAGGGUGCACACAUGACAGUCAGAGAAUAACUCAGUGUCUGUCCCCAAUUUCUGCCUUGUCUCUAAGACAAAGUCUCUUGUUAGUUGCUGUGUAAGCCAGGCUUGCAAGCCUAUGAACUUCCUAGGAAUCUCCUGUCCCUCAUUUCUACACUGCUGUACAUAGUUUAGGGGAUGUCUGUCUGCCUGUCUGUGUCUAUCUAUUUGAUUUUUGAGAUAGAAUUGAUCUAUCUAUCCACCUGUUUGGUUGUCUGGUUGUUUUUUCUUCUUUGACAUUAGAAAUGUGAUCUUGAGUCCAUCUGAAGUGUGGGAUUGUAAUUUCUGACGAUUGGCCUUUGAAAUUUAUAUACCACUACAGCUGGCUAAGUUUGGAGCUCAAGGGAGCUUUUGGUGCAGUUCAAACAAGGCCUAGUGAGCUCCUUGCUGAGCCAUCUUGAAAACACCCGUCUUGUUGACUUGUUGGGCACAGGCUUCUGGAGCCUUCCACGCUGGCCUCACCCAGCUUGUCUGUCUCAGCGGAGUUGUGUUCUUUAAUUUUAUUUUUAUUUUAAAUGAAAAGUUUGCGUAAAUGUCAUAGUCUUAAGAUUUCUUCCUCUUAUGGAUUUAAUUGUGUACACACAUAAGAUUUCGUAUAUGCUGCAUAUAGAGAGCAAGAGGAUCUUCUGGUCGGAGGCAUUGUGCAAGUGCACAUUUAGCUGCUGGUUUUAAGACUAUUGAAGACCUAGAUAGUCAACACCUUCCACAUUGUAGAGUGGCCAGAGAGCCUUUAACCUAUGUCCCACAGAGUAAGACCUGGGCUCCCUGUACUACGGAGGCUCUGUUCCUGAUUAUAGGAUUGAAAACCAUGGCUUAUUUUUCUCAGUGAGUUUAUUUUGCCAAUCAAGUAUAAAAUAUUGCCUUUAGCUGUAGAAUAACCCAGUAGCCUCUUUCUGCUUGCCUUUCAAAUGUGUGAGCAAGUGCAAGUGCAUACUCCUGCAGGCGGUGCUCGUGGAGGUGUGACUGUCCUAGACUCCUGCAGGCGGUGCUCGUGGAGGUGUGUGACUGUCCUAGACUCCUGCAAGCGGUGCUCGUGGAGGUGUGUGACUGUCCUAGACUCCUGCAGGAGGUGCUCGUGGAGGUGUGACUGUCCUAGACUCCUGCAGGCGGUGCUCGUGGAGGUGUGUGACUGUCCUAGACUCCUGCAGGCGGUGCUCAUGGAGGUGUGUGACUGUCCUAGACUUCCUGGCUGCUAUUGGCUUUCUUUUCAUCUGUUAGUGAGUCACCAUCACAUGCUAUUUUAUUAUCUCGCAAACAGUCUCUGGAAUUUUUUACCCUCUGUUUUUGCAGUGUGAAUGGAAAACCACUGAGGUUGUUCUGAACAACAUUCAAAUGAAGACUUUCUUCAGGGACACUUUAGUUAUUUAGUUUUGCCUUUGCUGUUGUCUCUUUGUUCCCAUGUAUAAGGUUUGGAUUGGGGGUGGGUGAGUUAAGAAUGAUGACUUUAUAUGUUUGAUUAUUUGAGAGGCCUAAGACAGACAUCCAGUUGCCUUGGUAUCUUGUUGAUGGUUCCCAACAUCAGGACUUGGUUCUGUUUGGGAAACAUGUCACUGAGGUGCUUUGAGCAGGUCAAUUUUUCUGGUCAUAGGUUCACAGGAGGGGAUAUCUAUUUGACUCAGGAAAGCCGCCUAGCUCCUGCUGCCUCCCCUGCUCCUUUCUUGGUUCUGUACUUCUGGGACUAACCAAGAAGUGGGAGGGAGGGCCUUGCUUCAAAAUAGCAGAAUUUCUUGCCCAUGUCUUCACUUGCAUGUGGUUCAUGAGAAAGACAAGAGACUUUUUGAUUUUUCGAGACAGGGUUUCUCUGUGUAGCCCUGGCUGUCCUGGAACUCAUUCUGUAGACCAGGCUGGCCUCAAACUCAGAAAUCUGCCUGCCUCUGCCUCCCAAGUGCUGGGAUUAAAGGGGUGCACCACCACUGCCUGGUGAGACUUCUUUCUGAUUAGUGGUUAAUUAUUUUAGGGCAGAAUGGCAAGGAGAAGAGUCCCCUUGUCCUCCCUGCCAGCCUACCCGUGAUCAGCAAGGGCUUCUUAACUUGUUUAGGGACUUCCCCAAACAGUGUUCUUCUGGCUUUUCGUUCACCUGCUUUCUUCUACACUCCAUUUCAGCACAUGUAACCUUUAAACCAAAAGUGUAUUGCUUAUAACAAGGACAAACCUCUUCUCUGCUUUUAUUUUGAAAAGUCCUCCCUGUUGUUAUGUGGAGGGUAUUCAGCUGAAAGCCUGUUCCAAGUAAGCGUUUGUGCAUCCCAGAGGAACUUUUGAUUUAUUUCCCUAACUCUGCCCUCCUUUCUCUGUGGUUCAGAAACCUUUAAUGAUCUGUGAAGCUUGGAGACUUCAGUGCAGAACAGUAGUGGUUUUAAGGACCCCUCCCACCAUAUAAAAGGCCUGCCAGGUUCCACAUGCUGGGUUUUGACUCCUUGAAAAACUAGCCUCUCACAGGUUUUUGGUUGUGUGGCAGGGCAUCCUGGGUUGGGGCCUUGAUAUGGCUUUUGUGAAACAUUUUUCCUCCUUUUCU
This is a long non-coding RNA of Mastomys coucha (southern multimammate mouse), 2598 nucleotides long. RefSeq lists it as uncharacterized. The record is from RefSeq and is a predicted model, not a curated record. The transcript has 2 exons. Lineage: Eukaryota; Metazoa; Chordata; Mammalia; Rodentia; Muridae.